GUGAGGAAUAUUGCGCAAUGGGGGAAACCCUGACGCAGCGACGCCGCGUGGAUGAUGAAGGCCUUCGGGUCGUAAAAUCCUGUCAGAUGGAAAGAAAUGUAGUAUGCCUAAUACGUGUACUAUUUGACGGUACCAUCAAAGGAAGCACCGGCUAACUCCGUGCCAGCAGCCGCGGUAAUACGGAGGGUGCAAGCGUUGUUCGGAAUUACUGGGCGUAAAGCGCGCGUAGGCGGCUAUUUAAGUCAGAUGUGAAAGUCCACGGCUCAACCGUGGAAGUGCAUUUGAAACUGGAUGGCUUGAGUACUGGAGGGGGUGGUGGAAUUCCCGGUGUAGAGGUGAAAUUCGUAGAUAUCGGGAGGAAUACCGGUGGCGAAGGCGACCACCUGGCCAGAUACUGACGCUGAGGUGCGAAAGCGUGGGGAGCAAACAGGAUUAGAAACCCUUGUAGUCC
RNAcentral lists this ribosomal RNA (451 nucleotides) under uncultured bacterium. RNAcentral describes it as "bacterial SSU rRNA". It matches the Rfam family "Bacterial small subunit ribosomal RNA", at positions 354 to 796 of the family's 1533-position model. The record is from RNAcentral.